This 242-nucleotide ribosomal RNA is filed under the name uncultured bacterium. Its description in RNAcentral is "partial 16S ribosomal RNA". It matches the Rfam family "Bacterial small subunit ribosomal RNA", at positions 524 to 764 of the family's 1533-position model. The record is from RNAcentral.
UACGUAGGGUGCAGGCGUUAAUCGGAAUUACUGGGCGUAAAGCGUGCGCAGGCGGUUUGCUAAGACAGGUGUGAAAUCCCCGGGCUUAACCUGGGAACUGCGCUUGUUACUGGCAGGCUUGAGUGUGGCAGAGGGGGGUGGAAUUCCACGUGUAGCAGUGAAAUGCGUAGAGAUGUGGAGGAACACCGAUGGCGAAGGCAGCCCCCUGGGCUAACACUGACGCCUCAUGCACGAAAGCGUGG